Molecule: unclassified non-coding RNA, 432 nt
Filed under: Hevea brasiliensis (rubber tree)
Lineage: Eukaryota; Viridiplantae; Streptophyta; Magnoliopsida; Malpighiales; Euphorbiaceae
Source: RNAcentral
CUGAACUCUAUAUGGAUCUGGUAAUCUAUAUAUCCAUAUCUGAAAAUCUGCCCACCAGGAAAUCAUAGAGGAAGAGAGAAAGAUGAGCAGCAGCGUGAUGGCAUCGUUGGGUCAGGCAGCAGCGAAGGUUGGCAACGCCGUGAAGGGUCAGGCGCAGCAGCACGGCAAGGAGAAGGCGGGGCAGUACUUCCAGCAGAAGCCUAGGGCUGCUGGAGGCAGCGGAGAGACGAUGCCGGAGUGGAAGCUGAACAGCCUCUGCAACGAAUACGGCCUCCCGGCCAACGUCCGCGGACACCUCCCGAUGGGCGGUUGCUUCUGAAUGCUAAGUUAAAAAUAUGGAUUAUUAGUUUAUGCUUUUCUUUUGUAUAUAUAAGUGUGCUCUUUGAGUGAUAUUUUCUAUGUUGGAACUAGCUAAAACUGGUUAAGUUUAAU